This 251-nucleotide long non-coding RNA is filed under the name Elaeis guineensis (African oil palm). RNAcentral describes it as "long non-coding RNA (EGUI_LNC025977)". The record is from RNAcentral. Lineage: Eukaryota; Viridiplantae; Streptophyta; Magnoliopsida; Arecales; Arecaceae.
AGUCCUUGUGAGGAGUCACAGGACUGUUUGAGUUGAGCACGAUUCGGAUGAUCUGAUCAGGGUUGACAGUUUAACCCUGAGUCAUCCUAAACAUAAGGGUCAAAAGGUUGAAUUAUACAGUAACCAUAUUCAUGUAGGUUCUGAGUGUUGUGAUUGCGACUCUUCGACCUAUCUGGAUGUCGGGUACCAUUGCUAGAUGGUCACUUCGAUUAGUAUAGGAAUUGGUUCCUGUGCUACCGGCUUAGGUUCGA